Molecule: ribosomal RNA, 315 nt
Filed under: uncultured eukaryote
Lineage: Eukaryota
Description: partial 18S ribosomal RNA
Rfam family: Eukaryotic small subunit ribosomal RNA
Source: RNAcentral
CCCUUAGACGUUCUGGGCCGCACGCGCGCUACACUGACCAGUGCAACAAGCAUCCGUCCUUGGCCGACAGGCCCGGGCAAUCUUUGAACGCUGGUCGUGAUGGGGAUAGACUUUUGCAAUUUUUGGUCUUCAACGAGGAAUUCCUAGUAAACGCAAGUCAUCAACUUGCAUUGAUUACGUCCCUGCCCUUUGUACACACCGCCCGUCGCACCUACCGAUUGAAUGGUCCGGUGAAGCCUCCGGAUUGGCGCGCACCUCGGUGCCGCCGAGAAGUUGGCUAAACCUUAUCAUUUAGAGGAAGGAGAAGUCGUAACA